RNAcentral lists this small RNA (126 nucleotides) under Marmota monax (woodchuck). Lineage: Eukaryota; Metazoa; Chordata; Mammalia; Rodentia; Sciuridae. The record is from RNAcentral.
GCUGGAUGCAGCGGUGCACGCCUGUAAUCCAAGUAAUUUAGGAGGCUGAGACAGGAGGAUUCGCAGGUUCAAAGUCAGCCUUGGCAACAGCAAGGCACUAAGCAACUCAGUGAGACCCUGUCUCUU